UGCAAGUCGAGCGAAUCUGAGGGAGCUUGCUCCCAAAGAUUAGCGGCGGACGGGUGAGUAACACGUGGGCAACCUGCCUGUAAGACUGGGAUAACUUCGGGAAACCGGAGCUAAUACCGGAUAAUCCCUUUCCUCACAUGAGGAAAGGCUGAAAGACGGUUUCGGCUGUCACUUACAGAUGGGCCCGCGGCGCAUUAGCUAGUUGGUGAGGUAACGGCUCACCAAGGCCACGAUGCGUAGCCGACCUGAGAGGGUGAUCGGCCACACUGGGACUGAGACACGGCCCAGACUCCUACGGGAGGCAGCAGUAGGGAAUCUUCCGCAAUGGACGAAAGUCUGACGGAGCAACGCCGCGUGAGUGAUGAAGGUUUUCGGAUCGUAAAACUCUGUUGUUAGGGAAGAACAAGUAUCGGAGUAACUGCCGGUACCUUGACGGUACCUAACCAGAAAGCCACGGCUAACUACGUGCCAGCAGCCGCGGUAAUACGUAGGUGGCAAGCGUUGUCCGGAAUUAUUGGGCGUAAAGCGCGCGCAGGUGGUUCCUUAAGUCUGAUGUGAAAGCCCACGGCUCAACCGUGGAGGGUCAUUGGAAACUGGGGAACUUGAGUGCAGAAGAGGAAAGUGGAAUUCCAAGUGUAGCGGUGAAAUGCGUAGAGAUUUGGAGGAACACCAGUGGCGAAGGCACUUUCUGGUCUGUACUGACACUGAGGCGCGAAAGCGUGGGGAGCGAACAGGAUUAGAUACCCUGGUAGUCC
Molecule: ribosomal RNA, 755 nt
Filed under: Bacillus sp. MRSA113B15_13_2E
Lineage: Bacteria; Bacillati; Bacillota; Bacilli; Caryophanales; Bacillaceae
Description: bacterial SSU rRNA
Rfam family: Bacterial small subunit ribosomal RNA
Source: RNAcentral